RNAcentral lists this ribosomal RNA (3408 nucleotides) under Triticum aestivum (bread wheat). RNAcentral describes it as "partial small subunit ribosomal RNA". The record is from RNAcentral. Lineage: Eukaryota; Viridiplantae; Streptophyta; Magnoliopsida; Poales; Poaceae.
AUGAUGUCUGCAGUUGCAGAGCAGGUGGUUGGUGGUUUCUCAUCAGCUGUUAUCCAACGUGUUGCUGACAAGACGAUGGAUUACCUAGGGAGCAACUACAAUCUAAGCCAUGCUACCGAAGAGCUUCUGACCAGACUGCGCACAAGCCUCACCAUGGUGAAGGCAAUUACCGAGGUGGCUGAUAACCAUCUUAUCAUCAGCAAUAGCCUUACCAAGUGGCUAAGGAACCUCCAUACUGCUGCCUAUGAAGCCGAGGAUGUGCUUGACAGAUUUGAUUGUCAUGAGAUAGUUGCCGGAAAGCGCAAGGUGAGGGAGCUCAUUUCAUCUUCGGUCAGGGCCCUGAAAAGUCUGGUUGUACCUGAUGAGGGCAUGAAAAUGCUUGAAUGUGUUGUGCAAAAGCUAGACCACCUUUGUGCAAUCUCCAACACGUUCGUUGAGCUAAUGAAGCAUGAUAAUUUGAAUGCCAUUAAGGAGGAAAGAAUUGUGGAAGAGACUACUUCUCGUGUUCCAAUUGAUGUCAAGGUGUUUGGCCGUGAUGAAGUUCUAGAGUUAAUACUGAAAAUUAUGUUGGGUUCAUCUGGCUCUGAAACAGAACCCAGUAGCGUAAGAGCAAAACUUGGGGCAAGGUAUCGCAUUGCUGGUGUUGAUGUUAUUCCGAUUGUUGGUAUGAGCGGCGUUGGGAAGACCACCCUUGCUCAAGUCAUUUACAAUAAUGAAAAUGUAAAGGGUCACUUUAAGCAAAGAUCAUGGGUUUAUGUUUCAAAACACUUCGGUGUGAAAAGAACAUUGCAAGAGAUGUUGCGCUCUUUUAAAGGAAACUAUUCAUCUUUUGGCUAUGCAGAAAGUCUGGAAACAACUGUCAACAAUAUUCAAAGUGUCAUCCAUCAGGAUGGAAGAUUCCUUCUUGUUCUAGACAAUGUUUGGGAUGAGAUGUGUGACCAGUGGAAUAGUUUGCUUACUGCCAUAGCUUGUGACGUGCCAGGAAGUGUUGUUCUUGUCACAACACAAAGCAAAAGGGUUGCAGACACAGUGGUGACAAUGUGUCAAGUCCCACUAACACCUUUGCCAUGGGAGAGUUUUUGGCCAGUUUUCCGGUAUUAUGCAUUUGGCACCACUGAUGUUGUGGUUGAGAACAAUCAGACUCUUUUGUUAAUUGGUGAACAAAUAGCAAAAAAACUAGAUGGUCUGCCAUUAGCAGCGAAAGUCAUGGGAGAUUUGAUGAGGUCCAGAUUUGCUGUAGAUCACUGGAGAAGCAUCCUGGAGAGCGAUUGGUGGGACAUGAGUGAAGUUUUAUGUGGAAUCCUUCCAUACAUGGGAAUUAGUUAUCAAGACCUGCAACCUACACAGAGGCAGAGCUUCGCUUUCUGUUCGAUUUUCCCACAAAACUACCUGUUUGACAAGGACAGAUUGGUCAAUAUGUGGAUUUCCCACGAUUUCAUCCAACACAGCGAAUUUGAUGGAACUAGAUUAGAGGAUAUUGGGAGUAAAUUGUUUGAUGAACUUGUACAAAGAUCAUUUUUCCAGUCUACAUUUGACAACAAGAGAUACACUAUGCACAAUCUAGUAAGGGCUCUGGCAAUUGCUGUUUCUUCAAAUGAAUGCUUCCUCCACAAAGAGACCUCACAGAGAGCAUCACCAACUGUUCGCCACUUGUCUCUUCAAGUUGGUAAUCAACUGCACAUUCAUGAGGCGAACAGGUAUAAAAAUCUUCGGACAAUCUUACUGUUUGGUCAUUGUGACAGUAAUGAAAUUUUUGAUGCUGUUGACAAUAUGUUAGCCAACUCAAGAAGCAUCCGAGUGCUAGAUUUAUCUCACUUUGAGGUGAUGACGAGUAUGCUGCCCAAUCUUGCAUUAUUGAGAAAAUUGAGGUUCUUCGAUCUUUCUUUUACAAGAGUUAACAAUUUGCGCAGCUUCCCUUGUAAUCUUCAAUUUUUAUACCUCCGUGGGUAUACAUGUGACUCAGUUCCUCAAAGCAUUAAUAGGCUUGCCAGCCUACGACACUUGUAUGUUGAUGCUACAGCUCUGUCUCGAAUUCCUGGUAUUGGGCAGCUGAGUCAACUUCAAGAAUUGGAGAACUUCAGUGUUGGAAAGAAAAAUGGAUUCAUGAUAAAUGAGUUGAAGAGCAUGCAAGAGCUAUCUAAGAAAAUAUGCAUCAGCAAUAUCCACAUCAUUAAGAACAGGCACGAGGCAAAAGAUGCAUGUAUGAUUGAGAAGAAACACCUUGAAGCACUGGUGUUGACGGGUAGAAAUGUAUCCAAAGAUGUACUUGAAGGAUUGCAGCCACACCCAAAUCUAGGAGAGCUCAUGAUCGAAGGUUAUGGGGCCAUAAAUUUCCCGAGUUGGAUGUUACAAGGUCAAAUAUACACAAAACUUCAGUCCCUUCAUGUUGGGAACUGUCGACUCCUAGCUGUACUUCCACCAUUUGGAAAUUUCCCUUCACUUAGGCGUCUCAUUCUAGACAACUUGCCGUUAGUGAAGCAUGUUGAUGGAAUAUCUUUUGGUUGUCUUAGAAGUUUGGAGGACCUCAGAGUUUCUUCCAUGACAUCAUGGAUAGAUUGGUCACAUGUGGAAGAUGAUCAUGGCCCUCUCCUUCCACAUGUCACAAGGUUUGAACUUCACAACUGCCCUAAACUUGAAGAAGUACCACAUUUGUCAUUCAUGUCUUCGUUAUCAGAACUUGACAUUUCAUCUUGUGGGAACCUUGUCAAUGCACUGUCACAAUAUGUGGAACUCUUAAAAUGUCUUGAAAGUUUGAAGAUAUCUUACUGCGACCACCAACUCUUACUCUUUGGGCAUCAGUUGAAAUCAUUGAAGUAUCUAUACCUCAGAAAAUGUGGUUCGCUACGUUUGGUUGAUGGGCUACACUGCUUUCCUAGCCUCAGGGAAGUCAAUGUUCUUGGUUGUCCUCACAUUCUUACUGAAUUUUCAGACCAAUCAACGAGACAAGAUGAGCAGGCUGUACAUCAGCUUACCAGUAUAAUUACAGAUUCAAGCUUGUUAAGUAGAAAUUCUUUUCUCCCCUCAGUGCAAGUUAUUGAAAUCGCCCAUAUAGAGGACCAUUAUUUUACCCCAGAGCAGGAGGAAUGGUUUGAACAACUAACCUCUGUCGAAAAAAUUGUGUUUGAUAAUUGUUAUUUUCUUGAACGACUCCCUUCUACACUAGGCAGACUCGCCUCCUUAAAGGUACUUCAUAUCAUGACAAAACCAGUGGCCCCGAGAGAAAAUUUUCCACAGAAACUCCAAGAAUUUAUUAUGCAUGGAUUUCCAGUUGAGGCAGAAAAUGAUUUCAAACCUGGAGGAUCAGCUUGGAUAAACAUUUCUCAUGUUCCAUACAUCCGUCUUAAUGGGAAGACGAUCCAAAAUCGACAAAUGGAUGCUGCCUCAUCGUCUUCAAACCAACAAAUUUGA